AGCCAUAACUCUCUCACUCACUCU
This 24-nucleotide non-coding RNA is filed under the name Arabidopsis thaliana (thale cress). Lineage: Eukaryota; Viridiplantae; Streptophyta; Magnoliopsida; Brassicales; Brassicaceae. The record is from RNAcentral.